GAUGAACGCUGGCGGCGUGCCUAAUACAUGCAAGUCGAGCGAACGGACGAGAAGCUUGCUUCUCUGAUGUUAGCGGCGGACGGGUGAGUAACACGUGGAUAACCUACCUAUAAGACUGGGAUAACUUCGGGAAACCGGAGCUAAUACCGGAUGAUAUUUUGAACCGCAUGGUUCAAAAGUGAAAGACGGUCUUGCUGUCACUUAUAGAUGGAUCCGCGCUGCAUUAGCUAGUUGGUAAGGUAACGGCUUACCAAGGCAACGAUGCAUAGCCGACCUGAGAGGGGGGGCGAAAAAAAGGGACCGAAACAAGGGCCAGAACUCAAAGGGGGGGAGAAGGGGGGAAGUCUUCCGAAAUGGGGAAAGGCCAGAAGGAGAAAAGCGGGGUGAGUAAGGAGGGUUUGGGGAACAAAAACCUUUUUUAUAGGGAAAAAAAAGAUGUGAAAGAAACGGUGAAAGUCUGGAGGGAACAAAACAAAAAGACCACGAAAAACACGGGG
This 497-nucleotide ribosomal RNA is filed under the name uncultured bacterium. Its description in RNAcentral is "partial 16S ribosomal RNA". The stretch from base 15 to 380 matches the Rfam family "Bacterial small subunit ribosomal RNA", at positions 42 to 397 of the family's 1533-position model. The record is from RNAcentral.